ACUCAAAGGAAUUGACGGGGGCCCGCACAAGCGGUGGAGCAUGGGGUUUAAUUCGUCACUAACCGAAGAACCUUACCCAGGCUUGACAUCCUCGGACCGCCGGUGAAAGCCGGUUUUCCCCGCAAGGGGACCGAGAGACAGGUGUUGCAUGGCUGUCGUCAGCUCGUGUCGUGAGAUGUUGGGUUAAGUCCCGCAACGAGCGCAACCCUCACAGUGUGUUGCUAGCGGAAACGCGCACUCACACGGAACUGCCGGGGCAACCCGGAGGAAGGCGGGGAUGACGUCAAGUCGGCAUGGCCCUUACGCCUGGGGCUACACCCAUGCUACAAUGGGGCGGACAGAGGGCUGCAAGACCGCAAGGUGGAGCGAAUCCCAAAAACCGUCUCUCAGUUGGAAUUGGGGUCUGCAACUCGACCCCAUGAACGUGGAAUCGCUAGUAAACGCCGGUCAGCCAAACGGCGUUGAAUCCGUUCCCGGGCCUUGCACACACCGCCCGU
Molecule: ribosomal RNA, 497 nt
Filed under: uncultured bacterium
Lineage: Bacteria
Description: partial 16S ribosomal RNA
Rfam family: Bacterial small subunit ribosomal RNA
Source: RNAcentral